AUACUAAAAACCUGGAAAUCUUGCUGAAAUGCAGAUUCAGCAAGAUUGAAUAGGUGUGGGGAUUUUACAUUUCUGAUAAGCUCUCAAGUGAUCCUGAU
This 98-nucleotide microRNA precursor is filed under the name Marmota monax (woodchuck). The record is from RNAcentral. Lineage: Eukaryota; Metazoa; Chordata; Mammalia; Rodentia; Sciuridae.